UGCAGCAGUGACAGUAAAUUAGUUAAGGACUGAACUGUCUGACCUUAUUAGUUUUACUCUCGCAAUGUAAUUUCGAGAAAUUUAGGUACUGUUUAUAAUUACUGGAAGUCUAAUGACCAAAGUAUGACCACGGAAAUUUCUAGGGGCUGGGACAGAAGUUCUCAAAUUAUAUUCUUCCUAAUUUCAUGGAGCCGACACAGAGUCUCCGUCGGAAGUACAUCGUCGCCCCUACCUCCGUGAGCAAGACAACAAUCGACUCUAUUUGAUUGGAAGUAGUAAGAAACUCCAUUCCUUAUCUGUAGAAAUCAGCCCCGGCGAUCUAGAGUCAGAGAGGCGAUGAGACGGAGAGCCGAGGUCCGCCGAAGAUCGAUGAUUCCUUGAGUCUAACAGAUAUGAGCAUUGACUGGAAGAUGAAGGCUCUUCGUCGCUGGCUAUCGAGAAUAAUGAGUUCCGAUAGGUCACGGCUUCCUAACGAUUUGGACGCAAGCUGUGAAUCUGUUUCCAAUCCUUCCGCCGUCGUCGAUGAGUGAACUAAUGGCUAAACUCCAGAACUUGGCGGAUCAAAGAGGCAAAAAUUAGACCUGUGAUUGAAAGAGGUAAAAAUUAGACCUGUGAUUAGGGACUAGGGAUGUGUUUUAACCUAUUUGAGUGACCUGGAUUUGCUUAAUUGCAGUAACAAUCAUCUCCAUGAUUCCAGGAGAGCUCAAUUCGCCGGAGAGUUCCAGUCGUAGAGGAGGUGCGUGCAGGAAAUGAAGCGGGUGAAGCGGACGUCACCGUUAACGUCAUCGUCGGGUCACCAUAUGGUAACGUGUGGUCCACUGAUUGGGUAACCUCUGACUCAGUGCCUCGUCACCAAAGCUACAUCGUUUUGACUGAGAUGCAAGCUGGAGAACUAAAUAAAAAUAAUACUAGUCGAGGUACGGGUCGAACAUGGGCCCCCGACAAUAUCAGUUCGAGUCCUUACCAAUUGACUAAAGCUUAUUUCAUUUGAAUAGGUUUAUCUUCACAGUUCACCAAUCUCAUUUGAAUUGGUUUAGAUCUUAGAUGUUAGUCUAACUAAUCCUAAUAAUUUUUAAUCUACUAUGCAUAACAUAAAAAUCAUAUCACAUCUUAAACAUGAAAUAAUAACAAUAAUAAUAAUAGUAAUCAUAAUAAUCACAUAUAUAAUCAUAAUUAUACUUAUAGGCUUCCUCAUCAUAAUCAAAUUCAGAAUUAUAAUAAAUAUAUAUACACCCGUUACUUAGUCAUGUAAUGAUCACAUUCAUAAUGCUCAUAAGUUAAUAAUUAGUAAUUUAUUAUAAUUUUAAAGUCAAUGACACUUUUACUGAGGGAAAUUUACGAAUUCCCAUACAUAAAUUUCGUCACUAAAUUCAGGAUAUAACAGUUAAAAUGUGAAAUUUAUGUUGUACUAAUUCACCUAACUCUUUUAUUUAUUGGUUCAAGUUAAUAAACCAAUGUCAGCUAUACACUUUGAAAUUGUACUAAUAUAUCAAUGGUGUACUAGUUCACAAACUCAUUCAAAUUAUAAAACCAAUGUGAGCUAUUGAGUUAACCAAUUAUACUAGUUUGUUAAGGAUUUUUUAUACAAGGGUUGUCCUAGUUCAAUUGAUUUCAGCAGUACAUGAUGUCUCACUAAUGGGUACUAGUUCAUACGCAAAUCACUAUAUGCGACCAAAGAAAUUGAUAUAUUGAAAAAUAAAAGUAUACAUAACUAGUCUAGUACCGUUACAACAAUGGCAUUGUAUCAGCCACCAUAUCAUAUUACAAAAUUCCGUCGUAUACUAGUGCAUCGAACAAAUCCAAUCUAACCCACAAAUAAUAUAAUAACAAAUUUUAUCCUGUGCUAGUGCACCCAAAAACUAGAUCUGAAUUUGAUGUCAUUCCCGAUAGUAAUAUAUUUGACGAUGUUGGAGCUACUUGAGUGAAUGGUAGGAAAGCAAGAUUGAUCUUGGACACAUGAGGCUGACGGUUGGUCGAUUUAUCACAAUCUGAACAUGAGAAGAGGGAAAACGAACUGAAGAGGUUGGAAACAACGUGAGGGAAGAAUAUGAAAUCCGAUCUCGAUGUGGAUAAGAGAUUUGAUUCUGAGCUUACUUGACGAGAAUGGAAGACCCGAUAGACGAGGCAUGUCAGAAGAUGGAUCAAUGGUCAUGGCGGUGAUGGCAGCUGAAAGUCUCAAUGGAGAGCAAAGUGAUGGCAGGGGUUUCGCCGACGAGGAGAAGGAUGGACUAACGAUGGCGGCAUGAAAGAGAGAGGUAUGGUGAUGAAUAGAGAAUUUUUUCAUGUGGCGACUACUUUCGGUGGAAUGAAUAAGUAAAGUUUUGAUAAGGAUAUAAAUAUUUGUAUUGCAACGGAUCUACUCCUAGUGAUAGAGUCAAUCAAAUAUAAGGAGCAAAAAAGUAAAGACACCAG
This 2412-nucleotide long non-coding RNA is filed under the name Linum usitatissimum (flax). RNAcentral describes it as "long non-coding RNA (LUSI_LNC002939)". Lineage: Eukaryota; Viridiplantae; Streptophyta; Magnoliopsida; Malpighiales; Linaceae. The record is from RNAcentral.